RNAcentral lists this long non-coding RNA (736 nucleotides) under Malus domestica (apple). RNAcentral describes it as "long non-coding RNA (MDOM_LNC000811)". Lineage: Eukaryota; Viridiplantae; Streptophyta; Magnoliopsida; Rosales; Rosaceae. The record is from RNAcentral.
UCAAGAUGAAUAAGAUCACGAUUACAAGGCUGGAGUUGAUCAACAACAACACAGCCCCUAAGCCAGGCUCAAACCUGUCACUAAUAGCCGAUGUGUCGGUGAAAAAUCCCAACUUCGCCUCGUUCAAGUAUACCAACACCACCACGACCUUGUAUUAUCACGGCGUGGUGGUGGGGGAGGCUCAUGGCGCACCUGGUCAUGCUAAGGCUCGACGGACCAUGAGGAUGAAUAUCACGGUUGAUAUGAUCACAGACCGGCUCACGUCCGACCCCAACUUGAGGGCGGAUUUCAAUUCUGGGUUGAUGACCAUGAGUAGCUAUUCUAGAAUUCCAGGAAGGGUGAAGAUGUUGAAUAUUAUCAAGAAACAUGUGAUUGUGAAAAUGAAUUGUACUAUGACUGUUAAUAUUUCCAGCCAGGCAAUUCAAGAACAAAAAUGUAAGAGGAAGGUUAAGCUCUAGGUUUUAUUGGGGUUUUUGUAUACUUUAUUUAUUGUGUUUUUAGUAGAAGAUGGAGUAAUAAUAUAGGUUUUUGGACACGAUAUAUAUCAUACGUUCAUAUGUAAAACAGUAAAAGCAUUGAGUGUGCUCCUUGUAUAGAUUUUUUCCUUCACUUUUCUCAUAUUGGAUUUUUCAUAUUUAGUUUACCAUCCAACUCCAUGUUUUUCCUUCCUCUUUUUAGUCAUGUUAAGUGUGGUAACCAAAAUAGUCUCUUCGUGAGCUAUCCCCUAUCUCCCCUG